UGGGGGAUAUUGCACAAUGGGCGAAAGCCUGAUGCAGCGACGCCGCGUGGGGGAUGAAGGCCUUCGGGUUGUAAACUUCUUUUGCUCUGAACAAGGCAUGCUAAUGGGUGUGUUGAGUGUAGGGGUUGAUUAGCGCCGGCUAACUACGUGCCAGCAGCCGCGGUAAUACGUAGGGCGCGAGCGUUUUCCGGAAUUAUUGGGCGUAAAGGGCUUGUAGGUGGCUGGUUGCGUCUGUCGUGAAAGCUCAUGGCUUAACUGUGGGUUUGCGGUGGGUACGGGCUGGCUGGAGUGCAGUAGGGGGGGCUGGAAUUCCUAGUGUAGCGGUGGGAUGCGCAGAUAUCUGGGGGGAUACCGAUGGCGAAGGCGGGUCUCUGGGCUGUUACUGACACUGAGGGGCGAAAGCAUGGGUAGCGAGCAGG
RNAcentral lists this ribosomal RNA (419 nucleotides) under bacterium. RNAcentral describes it as "partial 16S ribosomal RNA". It matches the Rfam family "Bacterial small subunit ribosomal RNA", at positions 355 to 776 of the family's 1533-position model. The record is from RNAcentral.